Long non-coding RNA from Lolium rigidum, 510 nucleotides. RefSeq lists it as uncharacterized. The transcript has 3 exons. Lineage: Eukaryota; Viridiplantae; Streptophyta; Magnoliopsida; Poales; Poaceae. The record is from RefSeq and is a predicted model, not a curated record.
UUAAUAGAUGUUCAGUUCAUUGCAUAAAUUCCGCAUGUGAUGAUGUUGCCAUUUUAGUUUUCCAGGUUAUAUUUAUCAAAGAGGGAGUUUCUAUGUAAGUCUCCUGCAGUACAUUAUCCAAUUUGUAGCAGAUAUAUUGUGGUGGCGUUUGUCACGAUUUAACGCAUGCCCGUGAAACCCUAGAUGUGGGGAUGGGGCUCACAACACCUAUGCUUCUGUUACCCCGACGUCGACGAUUAUCACCUUUUGAUGUCGCCUGGGUGGCCGGGGGCUCCCCACCUUGGUGCGGUGGAAUGUGUGGGGUUGACACAUAGAAGCCGACUCCACCGUCCAGAUCAAGUGGCCGAGCUGCUGCUGCUUCCUUGGAGCGCUGGAAGGGUUGUGCCAUUGCUGCAGCGGCCACCGGUGAGGCGUCGUGUGUGCGGAUUGUGGCUGCUGCUCCUGUUGCACAUGCCCGAGAUGCUUGUGUGGCUGCAAGUGCUCUUGCCCAGCUGCUCCCCUGCGCAUUCC